GGGAUCGUGGCGCAAUUGGUAGCGCAAGAAACUCUUAAUUUCGAGGUUGAAGGUUCGAGUCCUUCCGGUCCCA
This 73-nucleotide transfer RNA is filed under the name Candidatus Altarchaeales archaeon. Its description in RNAcentral is "tRNA-Lys". It matches the Rfam family "tRNA". From Rfam's summary of the family: Transfer RNA (tRNA) molecules are approximately 80 nucleotides in length. Their secondary structure includes four short double-helical elements and three loops (D, anti-codon, and T loops). The record is from RNAcentral. Lineage: Archaea; Nanobdellati; Candidatus Altarchaeota; Candidatus Altarchaeia; Candidatus Altarchaeales.